Hippocampus zosterae (dwarf seahorse) is the source of this 114-nucleotide small nuclear RNA. RefSeq annotates it as U5 spliceosomal RNA. NCBI's taxonomy places the organism in Eukaryota, Metazoa, Chordata, Actinopteri, Syngnathiformes, Syngnathidae. The transcript has a single exon. The record is from RefSeq and is a predicted model, not a curated record.
UCACUCUUGUUUCUCUUCAAGUCAUAUAAAUCGUUUGCCUUUUACUAAAGAUUUCUGUGGGGAGGAAUAACAAGAGUUGUAUCUCAAUUUUUGAUGCUCUGUGAAAGUGGAGCU